RNAcentral lists this ribosomal RNA (460 nucleotides) under uncultured bacterium. RNAcentral's name for it is "partial 16S ribosomal RNA". It matches the Rfam family "Bacterial small subunit ribosomal RNA", at positions 338 to 795 of the family's 1533-position model. The record is from RNAcentral.
CCUACGGGAGGCAGCAGUGAGGAAUAUUGGUCAAUGGACGAGAGUCUGAACCAGCCAAGUAGCGUGAAGGAUGACUGCCCUAUGGGUUGUAAACUUCUUUUAUAUGGGAAUAAAAUGUUCCACGUGUGGGAUUUUGUAUGUACCCUAUGAAUAAGGAUCGGCUAACUCCGUGCCAGCAGCCGCGGUAAUACGGAGGAUCCGAGCGUUAUCCGGAUUUAUUGGGUUUAAAGGGAGCGUAGGUGGAUUGUUAAGUCAGUUGUGAAAGUUUGCGGCUCAACCGUAAAAUUGCAGUUGAAACUGGCAGUCUUGAGUACAGUAGAGGUGGGCGGAAUUCGUGGUGUAGCGGUGAAAUGCUUAGAUAUCACGAAGAACUCCGAUGGCGAAGGCAGUUCACUGGACUGCAACUGACACUGAGGCUCGAAAGUGUGGGUAUCAAACAGGAUUAGAUACCCGUGUAGUC